RNAcentral lists this ribosomal RNA (433 nucleotides) under uncultured bacterium. Its description in RNAcentral is "partial 16S ribosomal RNA". It matches the Rfam family "Bacterial small subunit ribosomal RNA", at positions 29 to 507 of the family's 1533-position model. The record is from RNAcentral.
AACGAACGCUGGCGGCAUGCCUAACACAUGCAAGUCGAACGAGACCUUCGGGUCUAGUGGCGCACGGGUGCGUAACGCGUGGGAACCUGCCCUUAGGUUCGGCAUAACUCCCCGAAAGGGGUGCUAAUACCGGAUAAUGUCUUCGGACCAAAGAUUUAUCGCCUUUGGAUGUGCCCGCGUUGGAUUAGCUAGUUGGUAGGGUAAAAGCCUACCAAGGCGACGAUCCAUAGCUGGUCUGAGAGGAUGAUCAGCCACACUGAGACUGAGACACGGCCCAGACUCCUACGGGAAGCAGCAGUGGGGAAUAUUGGACAAUGGGCGGAAGCCUGAUCCAGCAAUGCCGCGUGAGUGAUGAAGGCCUUAGGGUUGUAAAGCUCUUUUACCCGGGAUGAUAAUGACAGUACCGGGAGAAUAAGCUCCGGCUAACUCCGUG